AUUGAACGCUGGCGGAAUGCUUUACACAUGCAAGUCGAACGGCAGCACGGACUUCGGUCUGGUGGCGAGUGGCGAACGGGUGAGUAAUGUAUCGGAACGUGCCCAGUCGUGGGGAUAACGUAGUGAAAAUUACGCUAAUACCGCAUACGAUCUAUGGAUGAAAGCGGGGGAUCGCAAGACCUCGCGCGAUUGGAGCGGCCGAUAUCAGAUUAGGUAGUUGGUGGGGUAAAGGCCCACCAAGCCAACGAUCUGUAGCUGGUCUGAGAGGACGACCAGCCACACUGGAACUGAGACACGGUCCAGACUCCUCCAGGAGGCAGCAGUGGGGAAUUUUGGACAAUGGGCGAAAGCCUGAUCCAGCCAUUCCGCGUGCAGGAUGAAGGCCCUCGGGUUGUAAACUGCUUUUGUACAGAACGAAAAGGUUUCUACUAAUACUAGGAGCUCAUGGCGGUACUGUAAGAAUAAGCACCGGCUAACUACGUGCCAGCCGCCGCAGUAA
Molecule: ribosomal RNA, 499 nt
Filed under: uncultured bacterium
Lineage: Bacteria
Description: partial 16S ribosomal RNA
Rfam family: Bacterial small subunit ribosomal RNA
Source: RNAcentral